AUGAGUCGGGAUUGGGCUAUUACGAGGAAGAACCGGAUCUGGGGGAGACGAAGAAUGAUAGAUCUCGGAACAGAACAUGGGAAUAUAUCUGCACUCAAUUUUCUUCAUCUGUUUCUACUCCUGGGCUUGUUAUUAUUUUUUAAUAAAAAUAAAGUGUUAUUUUCCUGUUACCCCAGUACACACAUUAUGUUUCAUGAAGUAUCUAAUAUGUUUUGGGAGAUUAUUCAGCCAAAUUCUUUCAGUGUGAAGUUACUACCUGGGAAUAAAUUAGGAAUGUUUUGGAGGUGUAUUGGGCAUUUCAAGCCAAUAAUUUAAUUUAACAAAAUAGUACAACCAUCAUGAUGAUUAAAAAUACAACUUAUGAAGAAAAGCUAAUGGGACUGAAAUGGUUGUUUCCAGUUGACAGGGAAAUUUAAUCAUGGUAAAUAUAAUCCUGAACUUGGGUUAAAAAUUCAGGGUUAUUAAAUUUGAAAGGACUCAAGUCUUCAAGUAUAUGAGAGUACUAUUUGUUCUUUUGACUUUCAUUUCCUUCUUUCUUUCUUUCUCUUUCUUUUCUUUCUUCCUUUCUUCAUCCUUCUUCCUUAUUCAUGUAUGUGUUUUAGCUUCUUUAGCUUUUGAGAGUGACAAUUCCUAAAGUCAAUGACUAUUUCUUAUCUAUCACUACAUCCCCCAUUAUAUCUGAACAUGAUGUAAGCUCAAACAAAUAUUCAUUGAACUAGUGAAUGUAUAAAUAACAGAGUGGAACCAGAGGAAUUGAGCGGAUGGAAAGGAAAAUAAUUAGCAUUUAUAUAGCACCUAGUUAGACUAGCUAAGCACUUAGUGUUUUUUCUUUCCUUUUUCCCCCCAAAUUGUCUCUCUCUCUCUCUUCCUCUCCCUUUCCUGAAGGUGAUAAGCAAUUCAAUCUCAGUUAUACAUGUAUUAUCAUAUAAAACAUAUUUCCAGAUUUUUCAUUUCUGUAAAAGAAUAAUCAUAUAAAACUAAAACCCCUCAAUAAAAUGAAGUGAAAAAUCA
Molecule: long non-coding RNA, 1011 nt
Filed under: Monodelphis domestica (gray short-tailed opossum)
Lineage: Eukaryota; Metazoa; Chordata; Mammalia; Didelphimorphia; Didelphidae
Description: lncRNA (ENSMODG00000036413.1)
Source: RNAcentral